RNAcentral lists this ribosomal RNA (253 nucleotides) under uncultured bacterium. Its description in RNAcentral is "partial 16S ribosomal RNA". It matches the Rfam family "Bacterial small subunit ribosomal RNA", at positions 524 to 776 of the family's 1533-position model. The record is from RNAcentral.
UACGUAGGGGGCAAGCGUUGUCCGGAAUUAUUGGGCGUAAAGAGCUUGUAGGCGGUUUGUCGCGUCUGCUGUGAAAACCCGAGGCUCAACCUCGGGCCUGCAGUGGGUACGGGCAGACUAGAGUGCGGUAGGGGAGAUUGGAAUUCCUGGUGUAGCGGUGGAAUGCGCAGAUAUCAGGAGGAACACCAAUGGCGAAGGCAGAUCUCUGGGCCGUAACUGACGCUGAGGAGCGAAAGCAUGGGGAGCGAACAGG